UACGUAGGGGGCAAGCGUUGUCCGGAUUUAUUGGGCGUAAAGAGCGUGUAGGCGGCCAGGGAGGUCCGUUGUGAAAACUCGAGGCUCAACCUCGAGACGCCGAUGGAAACCAUCUGACUAGAGUCCGGAAGAGGAGAGUGGAAUUCCUGGUGUAGCGGUGAAAUGCGCAGAUAUCAGGAAGAACACCCGUGGCUAAGGCGGCUCUCUAGUACGGUACUGACGCUGAGACGCGAAAGCGUGGGGUGCGAACAGG
RNAcentral lists this ribosomal RNA (253 nucleotides) under uncultured bacterium. Its description in RNAcentral is "partial 16S ribosomal RNA". It matches the Rfam family "Bacterial small subunit ribosomal RNA", at positions 524 to 776 of the family's 1533-position model. The record is from RNAcentral.